Xenopus laevis (African clawed frog) is the source of this 78-nucleotide non-coding RNA. Lineage: Eukaryota; Metazoa; Chordata; Amphibia; Anura; Pipidae. The record is from Rfam.
GUUUGGGAGACAUACUUCUUUAUAUGUCCAUAUGAAAGUGCCAAUGCUAUGGAAUGUAAAGAAGUAUGUAUCUCCGAU